Molecule: ribosomal RNA, 427 nt
Filed under: uncultured bacterium
Lineage: Bacteria
Description: bacterial SSU rRNA
Rfam family: Bacterial small subunit ribosomal RNA
Source: RNAcentral
CAAGGAAUCUUCCGCAAUGGGCGAUGAGCCUGACGGAGCAACGCCGCGUGGGGGAUGAGGCCCUUCGGGGUGUAAACCCCUUUUCUGUGGGAAGAAGCACUGACGGUACCACAGGAAGAAGGACCGGCUAACUACGUGCCAGCAGCCGCGGUAAUACGUAGGGUCCGAGCGUUGUCCGGAGUUACUGGGCGUAAAGCGCGCGCAGGCGGCGGUGUUGGCCCGGCGUGAAAGCCCCCGGCUCAACCGGGGAGAGUCGUCGGGGACCGCACCGCUUGAGGGCGGUAGGGGCUGGUGGAAUGCCUGGUGUAGUGGUGAAAUGCGUAGAGAUCAGGCAGAACACCUGGGGCGAAGGCGGCCAGCUGGGCCGUCCCUGACGCUGAGGCGCGAAGGCGUGGGGAGCGAACGGGAUUAGAUACCCCCGUAGUCC